This 172-nucleotide microRNA precursor is filed under the name Medicago truncatula (barrel medic). RNAcentral describes it as "MIR2619 microRNA precursor family". It matches the Rfam family "MIR2619 microRNA precursor family". The record is from Rfam by way of RNAcentral. Lineage: Eukaryota; Viridiplantae; Streptophyta; Magnoliopsida; Fabales; Fabaceae.
AAAUUGCCCCAUAAGUUUUGCAACUAUAGCAGUUUUGGCCUCCAAGGUCAAUUUUUGGUAGAAAAAAAAUAACACGUGGCACCUCAUUUAAGGUGCCACAUCAGCGUUGACCAAGUCAAAAUUGGCAUUGGGGGCCAAAACUGCCACAAAUGCAAAACUUAGGAGGCGGUUU